AUACUUACCUGGACGGGGUCAAUGAGCGAUCAAUAAGGCUCAUGGCGUAGGUUGGUGACCUCCAUUGCACUUUGGAGGGGUGCCCGCCUAAGGUCGAUCCAAGUGGUCGAGCCUACGUCAUAAUUUGUGAUAGUGGGGGCCUGCGUUCGCGCGGCCCCUAC
Small nuclear RNA from Nicotiana attenuata, 161 nucleotides. It matches the Rfam family "U1 spliceosomal RNA". Rfam says of the family: U1 is a small nuclear RNA (snRNA) component of the spliceosome (involved in pre-mRNA splicing). Its 5' end forms complementary base pairs with the 5' splice junction, thus defining the 5' donor site of an intron. NCBI's taxonomy places the organism in Eukaryota, Viridiplantae, Streptophyta, Magnoliopsida, Solanales, Solanaceae. The record is from Rfam.